This 494-nucleotide ribosomal RNA is filed under the name uncultured bacterium. Its description in RNAcentral is "partial 16S ribosomal RNA". It matches the Rfam family "Bacterial small subunit ribosomal RNA", at positions 28 to 507 of the family's 1533-position model. The record is from RNAcentral.
GACGAACGCGGGAGGCGUGCUUAACACAUGCAAGUCGAACGGUGAAGCGCCUUCCUUUUUGGUGGGUGUGGAUGAGUGGCGAACGGGUGAGUAACACGUGAGUAACCUGCCCCCUUCUUCUGGAUAACCGCAUGAAAGUGUGGCUAAUACGGGAUAUUCUGGGUCUGUCGCAUGAUGGGUCUGGGAAAGAUAUUGUUUCGGUGGGGGAUGGGCUCGCGGCCUAUCAGCUUGUUGGUGGGGUGAUGGCCUACCAAGGCGGUGACGGGUAGCCGGCCUGAGAGGGUGGACGGUCACACUGGGACUGAGACACGGCCCAGACUCCUACGGGAGGCAGCAGUGGGGAAUAUUGCACAAUGGGCGCAAGCCUGAUGCAGCGACGCCGCGUGAGGGAUGGAGGCCUUCGGGUUGUGAACCUCUUUCGCCAGUGAAGCAGGCCUGCCUCGUUUGUGGGUGGGUUGACGGUAGCUGGAUAAGAAGCGCCGGCUAACUACGUG